UUGAACGCUGGCGGUAUGCCUAACACAUGCAAGUCGAACGAGGGUAGCAAUACUCUAGUGGCGGACGGGUGAGGAAUACGUAGGAAUUUGCCCUUAAGUGGGGGAUAACCCGGGGAAACCCGGAUUAAUACCGCAUGAUCUUUUCGAAGCAAAGCCGGGGACCUUCGGGCCUGGCGCUUUUGGAGAAGCCUACGUCGGAUUAGCUAGUUGGUGAGGUAAUGGCUCACCAAGGCUGCGAUCCGUAACUGGUCUGAGAGGAUGAUCAGUCACAUCGGAACUGAGACACGGUCCGAACUCCUACGGGAGGCAGCAGUGGGGAAUAUUGGACAAUGGGCGAAAGCCUGAUCCAGCAAUACCGCGUGUGUGAAGAAGGCCUUCGGGUUGUAAAGCACUUUAGGUCGGAAAGAAAAAACUUUAGCUAAUAUCUGAAGUCUUGACGGUACCGACAGAAUAAGCACCGGCUAACUCUGU
RNAcentral lists this ribosomal RNA (471 nucleotides) under uncultured bacterium. RNAcentral describes it as "bacterial SSU rRNA". It matches the Rfam family "Bacterial small subunit ribosomal RNA", at positions 30 to 506 of the family's 1533-position model. The record is from RNAcentral.